AGAGUUUGAUCCUGGCUCAGAUUGAACGCUGGCGGCAGGCUUAACACAUGCAAGUCGAGCGGUAACAGGGGGUGCUUGCACCCCGCUGACGAGCGGCGGACGGGUGAGUAAUGCUUAGGAAUCUGCCCAGUAGUGGGGGAUAGCCCGGGGAAACCCGGAUUAAUACCGCAUACGUCCUACGGGAGAAAGCAGGGGAUCUUCGGACCUUGCGCUACGGGAUGAGCCUAAUUCGGAUUACCUAGUUGGGGGGGUAAAGGCCUACCAAGGCGACAAUCCGUACCUGGUCUGAAAGGAUGAUCAGCCACAUCGGGACUGAAACACGGCCCGAACUCCUACGGGAGGCAGCAGUGGGGAAUAUUGGACAAUGGGGGCAACCCUGAUCCAGCCAUGCCGCGUGUGUGAAGAAGGCUUUCGGGUUGUAAAGCACUUUCAGCGAGAAGGAAGGCUCUGAAGUUAAUACCUUCAGGGAUUGACGUUACUCGCAGAAGAAGCACCGGCUAACUCCGUGCCAGCAGCCGCGGUAAUACGGAGGGUGCAAGCGUUAAUCGGAAUUACUGGGCGUAAAGCGCGCGUAGGUGGUUAAGGUAAGCGAGAUGUGAAAGCCCCGGGCUUAACCUGGGAACGGCAUUUCGAACUGUCUGACUAGAGUGUGGUAGAGGGUAGUGGAAUUUCCUGUGUAGCGGUGAAAUGCGUAGAUAUAGGAAGGAACACCAGUGGCGAAGGCGGCUACCUGGACCAACACUGACACUGAGGUGCGAAAGCGUGGGGAGCAAACAGGAUUAGAUACCCUGGUAGUCCACGCCGUAAACGAUGUCAACUAGCCGUUGGGACUCUUGAAGUCUUAGUGGCGCAGCUAACGCACUAAGUUGACCGCCUGGGGAGUACGGCCGCAAGGUUAAAACUCAAAUGAAUUGACGGGGGCCCGCACAAGCGGUGGAGCAUGUGGUUUAAUUCGACGCAACGCGAAGAACCUUACCUGGCCUUGACAUCCAGAGAACUUUCCAGAGAUGGAUUGGUGCCUUCGGGAACUCUGAGACAGGUGCUGCAUGGCCGUCGUCAGCUCGUGUCGUGAGAUGUUGGGUUAAGUCCCGUAACGAGCGCAACCCCUAUCCCUGGUUGCUAGCAGGUAAUGCUGAGAACUCCAGGGAGACUGCCGGUGACAAACCGGAGGAAGGUGGGGAUGACGUCAGGUCAUCAUGGCCCUUACGGCCAGGGCUACACACGUGCUACAAUGGCGCGUACAGAGGGCUGCCAACUCGCGAGAGUGCGCCAAUCCCUUAAAACGCGUCGUAGUCCGGAUCGGAGUCUGCAACUCGACUCCGUGAAGUCGGAAUCGCUAGUAAUCGCGAAUCAGAAUGUCGCGGUGAAUACGUUCCCGGGCCUUGUACACACCGCCCGUCACACCAUGGGAGUGGAUUGCACCAGAAGUAGUUAGUCUAACCUUCGGGAGGACGAUUACCACGGUGUGGUUCAUGACUGGGGUGAAGUCGUAACAAGGUAACC
Molecule: ribosomal RNA, 1503 nt
Filed under: Marinobacter sp. BSs20187
Lineage: Bacteria; Pseudomonadati; Pseudomonadota; Gammaproteobacteria; Pseudomonadales; Marinobacteraceae
Description: bacterial SSU rRNA
Rfam family: Bacterial small subunit ribosomal RNA
Source: RNAcentral